RNAcentral lists this small nuclear RNA (23 nucleotides) under Arabidopsis thaliana (thale cress). Its description in RNAcentral is "snRNA_14441". Lineage: Eukaryota; Viridiplantae; Streptophyta; Magnoliopsida; Brassicales; Brassicaceae. The record is from RNAcentral.
ACAAGUUAAAGACAAGAAGAUCA